This 72-nucleotide transfer RNA is filed under the name Camelus bactrianus (Bactrian camel). It matches the Rfam family "tRNA". From Rfam's summary of the family: Transfer RNA (tRNA) molecules are approximately 80 nucleotides in length. Their secondary structure includes four short double-helical elements and three loops (D, anti-codon, and T loops). The record is from Rfam by way of RNAcentral. Lineage: Eukaryota; Metazoa; Chordata; Mammalia; Artiodactyla; Camelidae. RNAcentral also lists the same sequence under 2 other names.
GGGAGUAGAGCUAAAUAGCAGAGUGCAUGCUUAGUAUGCACAAGGUCCUGGGUUCAAUCCCCAGUACCUCCA